GAUGAACGCUGGCGGCGUGCCUAAUACAUGCAAGUCGAGCGAACAGACGAGGAGCUUGCUCCUCUGACGUUAGCGGCGGACGGGUGAGUAACACGUGGAUAACCUACCUAUAAGACUGGGAUAACUUCGGGAAACCGGAGCUAAUACCGGAUAAUAUCUUGAACCGCAUGGUCCAAUAGUGAAAGACGGUUUUGCUGUCACUUAUAGAUGGAUCCGCGUCGCAUUAGCUAGUUGGUAAGGUAACGGCUUACCAAGGCAACGAUGCGUAGCCGACCUGAGAGGGUGAUCGGCCACACUGGAACUGAGACACGGUCUAGACUCCUACGGGAGGCAGCAGUAGGGAAUCUUCCGCAAUGGGCGAAAGCCUGACGGAGCAACGCCGCGUGAGUGAUGAAGGUCUUCGGAUCGUAAAACUCUGUUAUUAGGGAAGAACAAAUGUGUAAGUAACUAUGCACGUCUUGACGGUACCUAAUCAGAAAGCCACGGCUAACUACGUGCCAGCCGCCGCGGUAA
Molecule: ribosomal RNA, 513 nt
Filed under: uncultured bacterium
Lineage: Bacteria
Description: partial 16S ribosomal RNA
Rfam family: Bacterial small subunit ribosomal RNA
Source: RNAcentral